AUGCUAUCACCCAUGCGCGCAGUGAUGGCAUGGUGGCCGAAGAAGGCCGUCUUCUGGGGAGCCGCGCUGGCCGCCAUCUCCACCCGCGGCCACACCAAUAAGACAGUAAUAUGCAGAGAAGGUAAUCCUUUAAGCUCCAAGGAAAUAGCUGAAUGUCACUACCAAAUUAAAUUACCUUUGUACAGAAAACACGUGGAGUUAUGUGAUAUGCAAAUCCUUUUAUCACUCAUUAAAAUUUUGCAAGUUCUUGCCAUACCCGAAGCUUCCAUUAUCGCUGACUUUGCCGGAAUGCCUGCACCCAUGUUCCAGGUGCCAAUAAUGAAUCCUGUGUUUAGUUGCACCAAUACAAGGUGUGGAGAGUUUGGGUUCGGAAGGUCUGCAGGAGGUGCCUUUGAGAACUUGAUCAGCUACUCGAGCUUCAUUGUCAGCGAAGUCUCCACUGGGUUGCCCAGAUCUGUCCUGAAUUGCUUCAUUGAUGACAAUUUGGAGAAGGCUUCGCUGACACUUACAAAGGAUGUUUUCCUUUGUUGGAAAGCCGAGGUUACGCUGGAGAUAGACAUGGGGUGCCUAUGCUGGUUUGCCUACAAUAAUUAUCAGAAGUGGUGGUUGUGCGGUGGAGGUGGGGCUUCAUCCUUCAGGCAAAUCGUGCAACAUGGAUCUGGUCUGAUAUCGAUCCAGACAGAUCUGGCGCUGGCAGCCCGUCCGACGGCGAGGGCUGAGGCCAACAGGGGCCGUGUGCGGCCGGCGCUGGCGUGGAUCGGGUGGUCUGGGUACAAGGUGGCGGCCCUGGCAGUGGGAGGCGUGUUGAUCUUGGGCGGAUUUGCGCGGCUCAGGAGCGGGAGAGCAGACAAGGCUGCUCGGGCGGCAUGGAUGCGGGUGGUUGGCGGAGCGGGGAUGAUGGCGACUAUCAGUGGUCCCACCCUUCUUGGAGGCACCAUUUUGGAGUCCCCGCUCCGGCGUUGGCUGCCUCACCUCUCCUUGGUGGAUCACUCAUGUGGUGGUCCGUCGGCUAGAAGCGGUUCUUCUUUGCUCAUUCGUAGUAUGCUUGGUAGUCGCUGGGGUGGUUUGUCGGCACCUUUGUAUCUUGCUUUGGGUGUGUGUUGA
Molecule: ribosomal RNA, 1104 nt
Filed under: Triticum aestivum (bread wheat)
Lineage: Eukaryota; Viridiplantae; Streptophyta; Magnoliopsida; Poales; Poaceae
Description: partial small subunit ribosomal RNA
Source: RNAcentral